This 536-nucleotide ribosomal RNA is filed under the name uncultured bacterium. RNAcentral's name for it is "bacterial SSU rRNA". It matches the Rfam family "Bacterial small subunit ribosomal RNA", at positions 355 to 895 of the family's 1533-position model. The record is from RNAcentral.
UGAGGAAUAUUGGUCAAUGGACGGAAGUCUGAACCAGCCAAGUAGCGUACAGGAUGACGGCCCUAUGGGUUGUAAACUGCUUUUGUAUGGGGAUAAAGUUAGGGACGUGUCCCUAUUUGCAGGUACCAUACGAAUAAGGACCGGCUAAUUCCGUGCCAGCAGCCGCGGUAAUACGGAAGGUCCAGGCGUUAUCCGGAUUUAUUGGGUUUAAAGGGAGCGUAGGCUGGAGAUUAAGUGUGUUGUGAAAUGUAGACGCUCAACGUCUGAAUUGCAGCGCAUACUGGUUUCCUUGAGUACGCACAACGUUGGCGGAAUUCGUCGUGUAGCGGUGAAAUGCUUAGAUAUGACGAAGAACUCCGAUUGCGAAGGCAGCUGACGGGAGCGCAACUGACGCUUAAGCUCGAAGGUGCGGGUAUCAAACAGGAUUAGAUACCCUGGUAGUCCGCACAGUAAACGAUGGAUGCCCGCUGUUGGUACCUGGUAUCAACGGCUAAGCGAAAGCAUUAAGCAUCCCACCUGGGGAGUACGCCGGCGGU